GCGCACGUGGUGAAAUUGGUAGACACGCCAUCUUGAGGGGGUGGUGGGCGAAAGCCCGUGGAAGUUCGAAUCUUCUCGUGCGCA
Molecule: transfer RNA, 84 nt
Filed under: Marivirga lumbricoides
Lineage: Bacteria; Pseudomonadati; Bacteroidota; Cytophagia; Cytophagales; Marivirgaceae
Description: Marivirga sp. JLT2000 tRNA
Rfam family: tRNA
About the family: Transfer RNA (tRNA) molecules are approximately 80 nucleotides in length. Their secondary structure includes four short double-helical elements and three loops (D, anti-codon, and T loops).
Source: Rfam by way of RNAcentral